AGAAUCAACGCUGGCGGCGUGCCUAACACAUGCAAGUCGAACGAGAACGGGUAGCAAUACCUUAGUAAAGUGGCGCACGGGUGAGUAACACGUGACUAACCUACCCUGGAGUGGGGGAUAACUGAGAGAAAUCUUAGCUAAUACCGCAUAACACCUACGGGUCAAAGGAGCAAUUCGCUUCAGGAGGGGGUCGCGGCAGAUUAGAUAGUUGGCGGGGUAAUGGCCCACCAAGACUGUGAUCGGUA
RNAcentral lists this ribosomal RNA (245 nucleotides) under uncultured bacterium. RNAcentral's name for it is "partial small subunit ribosomal RNA". It matches the Rfam family "Bacterial small subunit ribosomal RNA", at positions 26 to 285 of the family's 1533-position model. The record is from RNAcentral.